AUGAAGACGAUGAAGAGAUGCAUUGUUCCUAGCAUCCUGCUGAUGCUUUCACUCGAGGCCGCCCUCCUCGUCGCCGCCGGCCGCCCCACCACGGGCGCCGGCGCCGACGAUGUGGGCACCAUUCUCCUGCCGAGCGAGGGCAAAGGCCAAGCAGAAAUGGUGGCGAGCAGGCCGUGGAAGUGCUGCGACCGGGCCUUUUGCACAGAGUCGAACCCGAUGGUGUACAAGUGUGGUGACGAGGUCGAUCAGUGCGCGUCCACCUGCCAGGCCUGCGUGCCGUCCACGCUCAACCCGUCUCGCCACGUCUGCCAAGACCUGCACACCGGCGACCCCGGGCCCGAGUGCAGCGACGACGGCGGCCUCAACGUCGGCAUCGCGAAAGCCGAAGGUGCUAGUAAAGAUUACCCGGUGACUUUGGCGGCAGCGAAGAAGAAGGGGGAAGAGGAAGAGAGGCCAUGGAAAUGCUGCGACUUUGCUCUGUGCACCAGGUCAUUCCCACCGCUGUGCCGCUGCAUGGACAAGGUCGAGCAGUGUGCUGCGACCUGCGAGAAAUGCGAGCCGGCGACGUCGGACUCAUCCCGCCGCGUCUGCAACGACUGGUAG
Molecule: ribosomal RNA, 603 nt
Filed under: Triticum aestivum (bread wheat)
Lineage: Eukaryota; Viridiplantae; Streptophyta; Magnoliopsida; Poales; Poaceae
Description: partial small subunit ribosomal RNA
Source: RNAcentral